RNAcentral lists this ribosomal RNA (253 nucleotides) under uncultured prokaryote. Its description in RNAcentral is "partial 16S ribosomal RNA". It matches the Rfam family "Bacterial small subunit ribosomal RNA", at positions 525 to 777 of the family's 1533-position model. The record is from RNAcentral.
ACAGAGGGUGCAAGCGUUGUUCGGAAUCACUGGGCUUAAAGGGCGCGUAGGCGGUUCAGCAAGUAGAGGUUGAAAUCCGGCGGCUCACCCGUCGAACUGGUCUCUAAACUGCUGGACUGGAGUCAUGGAGGGGUGCGUGGAACUUGUGGUGGAGCGGUGAAAUGCUCAGAUAUCACAGGGAACACCGGUGGCGAAGGCGACGCACUGGCCAUGUACUGACGCUGAGGCGCGAAAGCCAGGGGAGCGAACGGGA